This 467-nucleotide ribosomal RNA is filed under the name uncultured bacterium. RNAcentral's name for it is "partial 16S ribosomal RNA". It matches the Rfam family "Bacterial small subunit ribosomal RNA", at positions 28 to 507 of the family's 1533-position model. The record is from RNAcentral.
GACGAACGCUGGCGGCGUGCUUAACACAUGCAAGUCGAACGGAAAGGCCCUGCUUUUGUGGGGUGCUCGAGUGGCGAACGGGUGAGUAACACGUGAGUAACCUGCCCUUGACUUUGGGAUAACUUCAGGAAACUGGGGCUAAUACCGGAUAGGAGCUCCUGCUGCAUGGUGGGGGUUGGAAAGUUUCGGCGGUUGGGGAUGGACUCGCGGCUUAUCAGCUUGUUGGUGGGGUAGUGGCUUACCAAGGCUUUGACGGGUAGCCGGCCUGAGAGGGUGACCGGCAACAUUGGGACUGAGAUACGGCCCAGACUCCUACGGGAGGCAGCAGUGGGGAAUAUUGCACAAUGGGCGGAAGCCUGAUGCAGAAACGCCGCGUGCGGGAUGACGGCCUUCGGGUGGUAAACCGCUUUCGCCUGUGACGAAGCGUGAGUGACGGUAAUGGGUAAGAAGCACCGGCUAACUACGUG